UACGUAGGUGGCAAGCGUUGUUCGGAAUUAUUGGGCGUAAAGGGCGCGUAGGCGGCGCGUUAAGUCGGCUGUGAAAGCCCGGGGCUCAACCCCGGAGGGUCAGCCGAUACUGACGUGCUAGAGUACGGAAGAGGAAGCUGGAAUUCCCGGUGUAGCGGUGAAAUGCGUAGAUAUCGGGAGGAAGACCUGAGGCGAAGGCGGGCUACUGGGCCGAUACUGACGCUGAUGUGCGAAAGCCAGGGGAGCGAACGGG
RNAcentral lists this ribosomal RNA (253 nucleotides) under uncultured prokaryote. RNAcentral's name for it is "partial 16S ribosomal RNA". It matches the Rfam family "Bacterial small subunit ribosomal RNA", at positions 524 to 776 of the family's 1533-position model. The record is from RNAcentral.